UACAGAGGGUGCAAACGUUGCUCGGAAUUAUUGGGCGUAAAGCGCGUGUAGGCGGCUUGUUAAGUCGGUUGUGAAAACCCAUGGCUCAACCAUGGAAGCGCGUCCGAAACUGGCAAGCUGGAGUCCCGACGAGGGUGGCGGAAUUCCCAGUGUAGAGGUGAAAUUCGUAGAUAUUGGGAAGAACACCGGUGGCGAAGGCGACCAUCUGGACGACAACUGACGCUGAGGCGCGAAAGCGUGGGGAGCAAACAGG
Molecule: ribosomal RNA, 253 nt
Filed under: uncultured bacterium
Lineage: Bacteria
Description: partial 16S ribosomal RNA
Rfam family: Bacterial small subunit ribosomal RNA
Source: RNAcentral